GAAAGAGAAUGAAAAAACGUUGCCAUUUUUAUUUGUUUUUUUUUUUUUUUUUUUAAAAAUCGCAAAAUUAAAUGAAAAACAGGGAACACCGCUUUUAACUACAAAAACAUCCAUUCAUUACUGAUGCAAAAUGUUGCAUAAUGAAACACAUGAGAUGGCCCUUACAAUGGACCAUUACGUGUCGGGCAACACGUAUGGCUUUCAUGCAAACAAAAUUAAAACACCGAAAUACUACUCUUCAGAAUGAGUGACAGUGACGCUUUUGGAGGCCUUCCAGUUGCCUGGUACGCACGACUUUAUCCAUGCCUCAAGCUCGCGGUCGCUGUCAACAUCUCCACCCACUGAACGGGCAUGACCAGGAUCCAACAUUCCGGCACUGACGAAGGCGUAUAGUGGACGACAUCCUCUGUCUGGUCUAGACGACUCUAAAUCCGGAUGAUAACCGACUCCAAACAUGUCUGCUUU
This 465-nucleotide long non-coding RNA is filed under the name Lathyrus oleraceus (garden pea). Its description in RNAcentral is "Pisum sativum (pea) long non-coding RNA (PSAT_LNC041597)". Lineage: Eukaryota; Viridiplantae; Streptophyta; Magnoliopsida; Fabales; Fabaceae. The record is from RNAcentral.